Callithrix jacchus (white-tufted-ear marmoset) is the source of this 342-nucleotide non-coding RNA. The record is from Rfam. Lineage: Eukaryota; Metazoa; Chordata; Mammalia; Primates; Cebidae.
GGAUGUGAAGGCAAUCUGACUGCAACAUCUGUCACCCCAUUGAUGACCAGGGUUGAUUUGGCUGAUAUGGCUGGCUAGGCAGGUGUCUCCUUCCUCCCUCACCACUCCAUGUGUAUCCCUCCUGAAGCUGCACACUCAGGGGAAGAGGACGACCAUCUGGAUAGAGGAGGACAGGUUUUUGGUCAAGGAUAUACAAACAGCUGCACUCCCCUGCUAGAACCUCCAAACAAGCUCCCAAAUAACUUAAGAAUCUUAUGUUCUCGGUAGACAUGAAAUUUUGUGGUGUGGGGGGACACUGUUCAAAUCAGUACAGUCCUCAUCCAGCCCCAGAGAGUGGCCGUU